RNAcentral lists this ribosomal RNA (526 nucleotides) under uncultured bacterium. Its description in RNAcentral is "bacterial SSU rRNA". It matches the Rfam family "Bacterial small subunit ribosomal RNA", at positions 10 to 523 of the family's 1533-position model. The record is from RNAcentral.
AGUUUGAUCCUGGCUCAGAGUGAACGCUGGCGGCAGGCCUAACACAUGCAAGUCGAACGGCAGCACAGUAAGAGCUUGCUCUUAUGGGUGGCGAGUGGCGGACGGGUGAGGAAUACAUCGGAAUCUACUCUUUCGUGGGGGAUAACGUAGGGAAACUUACGCUAAUACCGCAUACGACCUACGGGUGAAAGCGGAGGACCUUCGGGCUUCGCGCGGUUGAAUGAGCCGAUGUCGGAUUAGCUAGUUGGUGGGGUAAAGGCCUACCAAGGCGACGAUCCAUAGCUGGUCUGAGAGGAUGAUCAGCCACAUUGGGACUGAGACACGGCCCAAACUCCUACGGGAGGCAGCAGUGGGGAAUAUUGGACAAUGGGCGCAAGCCUGAUCCAGCCAUGCCGCGUGGGUGAAGAAGGCCUUCGGGUUGUAAAGCCCUUUUGUUGGGAAAGAAAAGCAGUCGGUUAAUACCCGAUUGUUCUGACGGUACCCAAAGAAUAAGCACCGGCUAACUUCGUGCCAGCAGCCGCGGUAA